Molecule: RNA transcript, 1756 nt
Organism: Rhagoletis zephyria (snowberry fruit fly)
Lineage: Eukaryota; Metazoa; Arthropoda; Insecta; Diptera; Tephritidae
Source: RefSeq, a predicted model, not a curated record
GCCAUCUUUCCAUUGAUUGUUCUCCUUUUUGCUGGUGGCUGGUCCGAUCGUUACAACAAACGCAAGCCAUGUAUGAUUAUGCCCAUUGUUGGCGAAUUUUUCUCCUUUACAUGUUUGCUUAUUUCGGCGAUCUUUUUCGACUCUCUGCCAAUGGAAUUCGGUGCAUACUGUGAGGCGAUUGUUCCAGCCUUAUUCGGUGGACUUACAUUUUGUUUGAUGGCUGUCUAUAGUUAUAUAACGAUAGCAACACCGGAGGAGGAUCGUAUAUUCAGAUUUGGUAUUUUUGCAAUGUUUGUAACAGCCGUACCUUUCAUCGGCCAACCGAUAAGUGGUUUUCUAUUUCAACAGCUGGGCUAUAUUUUUUCCUUUGGAAUGGCUGCCUCAUUUCAAAUAAUCGCAAUACUCUACAUCAUUUUCUUUAUCAAAGAGGUCAAACCUGCACCUAAAGCUAAAGUCGAAGAUGUUCCGCCGCCAUUGCCUGCACAUGGACCGCCAUCACUUCGCGCCGGCAGUGAUAAUUUGGCUUAUGACCAAACGGGUACUGAUGAAGUGGAUAGAGUGAAAAACCUCAGCUUUGAAUUGAAUUCGCGCUUACAGCCAGCCGAUAAGUCGGCACAAUUGUCAAAUUCAGAAAGUGUAGCGCCAGUGCGACGUUCCUUCCUGCGUGAAUUUUUCGAUCCAACUUUAGUGAUAGAUUGCAUAAAAUUUCCGUUAAUAAAACGCCCCAAUCAUGGAAGAAUGCUGCUGAUUUUAUUAAUCAUUGCCUAUUUUCUAACGCUUGGACCCGUAUCAGGAGAGAACGAUUAUUGGUAUCGUUACACGCUGAUCAAAUUGAAUUGGAAUGGCAAUGAUUUCAGCUUUUUCUUCACAUUUUCCUCAGCAGCUGCAUUAAUAGGUACUUUCAUCGGCACCGCUAUACUUAGUAAAUUAUUGAAAUUUGCUGACUCCACUAUUGGCAUUUUAUCAGCUGUGGCCAUUGUUAUAUCCCGUAUUUUAUUUGCUUUCGCCAAGGAUACAAAGUCCUUCUAUGUUGCUGGUGUUGUUGAUAUGUUCGUGAGUUUACGCGUAAUUGCUAUUAAAACAAUCGGUUCCAGCAUUGUUGAUGGCGAGGAAUUAAGUAAAAUGUAUUCGAUAUUUGGCAUUAGUGAGCCAAUUGGACAGUUUAUAUUCCCACCAAUAUUUAGUGCCAUAUACCAGGAUACCGUGGAAAGCUUUCCGGGCGCUAUUUUCCUAUUUGGUGAAAUAUUUUACAUACCUAACGUGCUGGUAUUUGUGCUUUGCUACAUAAUUUUGCGCCGGAAUAAAAAUGAGAAAAAGCAGACACCUCCAGAAGUUACGAAUGGGAAUGCUGCCCACGACAACCCCGAUUUUGAAAUAACUAGUCUAUAAUCGAAAUAAGCAACAUUACUGAGCAAGGGUUAGCAUAAACACGAUGCUCAAAUUAUUCCUUUCAUUGGUUGUUCUUUGCUUCGUGGCAACUUCAUUUGGUCAAACAUUUCAAUACUCCCACGGUUGGACCAAUGGCAAGCGGGCACUCAGCACACACAGUGGUGUCGAUAUUUCCGAAAUGCUCGGUGUUCAACAAGACGGUGAUCGCAGGCUGGAAAGGUGUCUUAUGCAGCUGCAGCAUAUACUCCGCAAUCCCCUGCAAAUUCGUGCCGGCGUACAAGCAUUGACUCCAACAAACAACAAUGCCAACAACAACCGAUUUGGAAAUCAUCAUCAAUCAAAUGAACUUUACGAAGAAUUGAAUGCU